RNAcentral lists this ribosomal RNA (279 nucleotides) under uncultured bacterium. Its description in RNAcentral is "partial 16S ribosomal RNA". It matches the Rfam family "Bacterial small subunit ribosomal RNA", at positions 506 to 784 of the family's 1533-position model. The record is from RNAcentral.
UGCCAGCAGCCGCGGUAAUACGAAGGGGGCAAGCGUUGUUCGGAAUUAUUGGGCGUAAAGCGUAUGUAGGUGGUCUUUCAAGUCAGACGUGUAAGCCCUCGGCUCAACCGAGGAAUUGCGUUUGAAACUGAUCGACUUGAGUGCAGGAGAGGAAAGCGGAAUUCCCAGUGUAGCGGUGAAAUGCGUUGAUAUUGGGAAGAACACCGGUGGCGAAGGCGGCUUUCUGGUCUGCUACUGACACUGAGAUACGAAAGCCAGGGGAGCAAAGGGGAUUAGAUA